AUACAAUGCAACAAAAUGAAAUGAGCAUGUUGCCAAAAAAGAGAUCACAAGAUCAAUCAGAACAGAAUCAGGCGAGACAGCCUUCUUCUCAAAACUGUACUUUACUUGAUCAACAU
This 116-nucleotide non-coding RNA is filed under the name Ditylum brightwellii. Lineage: Eukaryota; Bacillariophyta; Thalassiosirophyceae; Lithodesmiales; Lithodesmiaceae. The record is from RNAcentral.